RNAcentral lists this ribosomal RNA (491 nucleotides) under uncultured bacterium. Its description in RNAcentral is "partial 16S ribosomal RNA". It matches the Rfam family "Bacterial small subunit ribosomal RNA", at positions 29 to 507 of the family's 1533-position model. The record is from RNAcentral.
GUGAACGCUGGCGGUAGGCCUAACACAUGCAAGUCGAACGGCAGCACAGUAAGAGCUUGCUCUUACGGGUGGCGAGUGGCGGACGGGUGAGGAAUACAUCGGAAUCUACUUUUUCGUGGGGGAUAACGUAGGGAAACUUACGCUAAUACCGCAUACGACCUACGGGUGAAAGCAGGGGAUCUUCGGACCUUGCGCGAUUGAAUGAGCCGAUGUCGGAUUAGCUGGUUGGCGGGGUAAAGGCCCACCAAGGCGACGAUCCGUAGCUGGUCUGAGAGGAUGAUCAGCCACACUGGAACUGAGACACGGUCCAGACUCCUACGGGAGGCAGCAGUGGGGAAUAUUGGACAAUGGGCGCAAGCCUGAUCCAGCCAUACCGCGUGGGUGAAGAAGGCCUUCGGGUUGUAAAGCCCUUUUGUUGGGAAAGAAAAGCAGCAGGUUAAUACCCCGCUGUUCUGACGGUACCCAAAGAAUAAGCACCGGCUAACUUCGUG